GGGGAUGUGGCGGAAUGGCAGACGCAACAGACUCAAAAUCUGUCGAUCGAAGGGUCGUAAGGGUUCAAGUCCCUUCAUCCCCACCA
RNAcentral lists this transfer RNA (86 nucleotides) under Clostridiaceae bacterium. RNAcentral's name for it is "tRNA-Leu". It matches the Rfam family "tRNA". From Rfam's summary of the family: Transfer RNA (tRNA) molecules are approximately 80 nucleotides in length. Their secondary structure includes four short double-helical elements and three loops (D, anti-codon, and T loops). The record is from RNAcentral. RNAcentral also lists the same sequence under 2 other names. Lineage: Bacteria; Bacillati; Bacillota; Clostridia; Eubacteriales; Clostridiaceae.